UACGGAGGGUGCGAGCGUUGUCCGGAAUCACUGGGCGUAAAGGGCGCGUAGGCGGCCUGAUAAGUAGGGGGUGAAAUCCUGCGGCUUAACCGCAGGGCUGCCUUCUAAACUGUCAGGCUAGAGCACAGUAGAGGCAGGUGGAAUUCCCGGUGUAGCGGUGGAAUGCGUAGAGAUGUGGAGGAACACCGAUGGCGAAGGCAGCCCCCUGGGCCUGCACUGACGCUCAUGCACGAAAGCGUGGGGAGCAAACAGG
Molecule: ribosomal RNA, 253 nt
Filed under: uncultured bacterium
Lineage: Bacteria
Description: partial 16S ribosomal RNA
Rfam family: Bacterial small subunit ribosomal RNA
Source: RNAcentral